GAUAAGAUGGGUUGGAACAACUCUGGAAAUAACAUUUCAACAUGAAAGUUAUGCAUACAAGUACUUAAAGGUAAUAAAUUCUGAGCAUGAGAGUCAUGAAAACAAGUAAAGGUAGGUAAUCUCAGUAAAACUAGGAAGUAGAUUCUCAUAUCAAUCAACUAAAGCAUGGACAAGAAUAUUUCCACAAAAAAAAUUCUAUGCAUACACAAUAAACCAUUUUUUUCAUUCACAUUUAUCAUUUCGUGGUUUUUUGCUAUCAUACUUUUGAGCAUAAGAACAGAACAUUAUUGAUUUCCAUGGGCAAUAGUCUUGACCACCAUCACCACCCCAACCAAAAGAACCCCCUCUCGAUUCUCUAUUUCCAGUAGCCUCUUCAACCAAGCUUUUAAACUUAUCACUAAAAUUAAGUGUGAUCACCUUAAUCUUAUUUGCCAAAUAAAAAUCAACCAAUUUGUGCUUGGAUAACAACUAUCAAAUUCUCGAGGAAUUUUGAUAGAAUUUUUAUGUGGUAGGCAAAUAAGAUUAUAUAUAUACA
Molecule: unclassified non-coding RNA, 535 nt
Filed under: Hevea brasiliensis (rubber tree)
Lineage: Eukaryota; Viridiplantae; Streptophyta; Magnoliopsida; Malpighiales; Euphorbiaceae
Source: RNAcentral